Zingiber officinale is the source of this 1417-nucleotide long non-coding RNA. RefSeq lists it as uncharacterized. The record is from RefSeq and is a predicted model, not a curated record. Lineage: Eukaryota; Viridiplantae; Streptophyta; Magnoliopsida; Zingiberales; Zingiberaceae. The transcript is spliced from 3 exons.
GUUUCAAUUUGGCAGAGCCGAUUCAAGUUCAAACUGUGCCCAAAACAGUCAUGGCGCUAGUGGCAGGCCACAUCCUACUCCUUGGUCCUCACUUCUACUAUUGUCAGUACCACUGCCACUCCACCCGGUUGCAGACAAAACUGCAGGCAGCCAGCCAGGCAGAGGGCGCGUGAUGGCGACUGUUGAUUGAGAUUUCCUUUAUUCUCCAUGUCUAACUCCCCUUCUAUCUUUCCCCUUCUAUCUAAUCUGCUCCCCCGUCCAAAGUUAUAUUCCAAGCUUGUCAUUUGCUAUCGAGGGCCAAUGAAUGGACCUGGAACUUCACAUCCAAACUUAGGCAAACCUACAAACGGCGAGCAGUCGGCAGCGCUUCAUCGCCAUGGUUCAUGGUUUGUCGCUCUGAAAGAGUAAGGCCAAACGUUGCCGCGCAGUGAACCGGAGGGAGUAGCAAAUCGGCACGAUGAGUUAUUUUGGUUCCGUGCAGGUGCUGCUGCUACACGCCUGCGUUUGGCUGGGCAACUUGCUGCAGAAGCAACGAUAUGAAGGAGGAGGGGGGCAAAAAAACAAUUCACGAUGUGGGUCCGGACCUAGGAAUAUAUGCGUCAAAGCGCAGCGCGACACGCCUCGUCAGUGCUGGCUGGCUCCACCUCAUCGCUCUCUCCCUGCACGCGCACCACCGCCUCGUGCACUGCGUGCCAACAGCAAGCAGCGGACGCCCAAUCGCAACUCGGGACGCCUUCCGCGGCCCUGUUUCAAAAUAAAUCCUCGCUUUCUCAAUCCGCACACCCACACCGGCCACCCAUCCGCACACCCACACUAACGGCUCUCUUUGCCUGUCAUCGGCAUUCGCGUCUCCUUUUCUCCCUUUUCUCGAGAAAAAUGAAAAUCGAAAGAAAAGGGAGGAGAAAAAAAAAUAGGAAGAAAGAGAAGGAAAAAAACAAGGAAAAGGAAUAAAGCCGACAAGUUUCGUCCAAAUCAGAGAUUAGAGAUUGCAGCAGCUGACACUCUUUCUUUGCCCCCCUAUUUAUUAUCCCUCCCCUUCUCUAAGCCUAACAGAGGGAAGAGAGUACCGAGAGCCAGGGUUUCCUCCUCCUCCCGCCGCUUGAUCGUCCUUCAGGAAUCGGAUGUCGCAGCUCCUCGCUGAUUCCCCUCCGCCGACUCCGCGGAGGAGGCGGCACGAGAGGAGAAAAAAAGGUAUCUAAAUGACGACAGCUACGACUGCCUGGAAACAAUGUUCUCGUCAAGCGGAUGCAGAUUAUCUAGUCUUUUGAUUAUAUUUGUCAAAUGCAUUAGAUAAUGUCAUGCUUGGAGAGUUAGGGAAUGAAGCCAUUGGUCCGCUAGACAUCAUAUGUUUUGGGUCAUUAUAUUUGACAUCCUCAUAUUUCUCGUUCAGCUAAAUGACAUUCAAAUAUUCGGUUUA